This 466-nucleotide ribosomal RNA is filed under the name uncultured bacterium. RNAcentral describes it as "partial 16S ribosomal RNA". It matches the Rfam family "Bacterial small subunit ribosomal RNA", at positions 28 to 507 of the family's 1533-position model. The record is from RNAcentral.
GAUGAACGCUGGCGGCGUGCUUAACACAUGCAAGUCGAACGGAAAGGCUCCUGCUUGCCGGGGUACUCGAGUGGCGAACGGGUGAGUAACACGUGGGUGAUCUGCCCUGCACUUCGGGAUAAGGCUGUGAAACUUGGUCUAAUACCGGAUAGGACGAUGGUGUGGAUGCCAUUGUGGAAAGUUUUUUCGGUGUGGGUUGAGCUCGCGGCCUAUCAGCUUGUUGGUGGGGUAAUGGCCUACCAAGUCGUCGACGGGUAGCCGGCCUGAGAGGGUGUACGGCCACAUUGGGACUGAGAUACGGCCCAGACUCCUACGGGAGGCAGCAGUGGGGAAGAGUGCACAAUGGGAGGAAGCCUGAUGCAGCGACGCCGCGUGGGGGAUGACGGCCUUCGGGUUGUAAACUCCUUUCGCUAGGGACGAAGCGCAAGUGACGGUACCUGGAGAAGAAGCACCGGCUAACUACGUG